AUUUGAUGCUGUGGGCAUCUAGUGCACAACUUAUUAAAUCUCUCCUAAUAGUCAUAUAGGAAUUUCUCCAGGAUACUGAUUAAUACUGCAUAUCUCCUUUCUCAGACU
Molecule: small nucleolar RNA, 108 nt
Organism: Coffea arabica (coffee)
Lineage: Eukaryota; Viridiplantae; Streptophyta; Magnoliopsida; Gentianales; Rubiaceae
Source: RefSeq, a predicted model, not a curated record